AAGCCUCAAGUUAUGUGUGACAACCCCCUGAUUUUAAAGCAUAAA
RNAcentral lists this ribosomal RNA (45 nucleotides) under Anopheles sinensis. Its description in RNAcentral is "partial 28S ribosomal RNA". Lineage: Eukaryota; Metazoa; Arthropoda; Insecta; Diptera; Culicidae. The record is from RNAcentral. RNAcentral also lists the same sequence under 1 other name.